RNAcentral lists this unclassified non-coding RNA (379 nucleotides) under uncultured Oligoflexales bacterium. RNAcentral describes it as "contains 16S-23S intergenic spacer region". The record is from RNAcentral. Lineage: Bacteria; Pseudomonadati; Bdellovibrionota; Oligoflexia; Oligoflexales.
UCCGUGUUAACCACGGCAGUCUCUUUAGAGUGCCCAACUUAAUGCUGGCAACUAAAGACAAGGGUUGCGCUCGUUGCGGGACUUAACCCAACAUGUCACCACACGAGCUGACGACAGCCAUGCAGCACCUGUCAUCCGGCUUACUUGCGUAAGAAAUCGUAUCUCUACGACGGUCCAGAGAUGUCAAACCCAGGUAAGGUUCUUCGCGUUGCUUCGAAUUAAACCACAUGAUCCACCGCUUGUGCGGGCCCCCGUCAAUUCCUUUGAGUUUUAGUCUUGCGACCGUACUUCCCAGGCGGGGUACUUAGUGCGUUAGCUCCGAUUCAACAGGGGUCAAAUCCCGUCAAAUCUAGUACCCAUCGUUUACGGCGUGGACUAC